ACGGGUGUAGCUCAGUUGGUAGAGCACUGGUCUCCAAAACCAGGUGUCGGGCGUUCGAGCCGCUCCUCCCGUGC
This 74-nucleotide transfer RNA is filed under the name Prolixibacter sp. SD074. RNAcentral describes it as "tRNA-Trp". It matches the Rfam family "tRNA". Rfam says of the family: Transfer RNA (tRNA) molecules are approximately 80 nucleotides in length. Lineage: Bacteria; Pseudomonadati; Bacteroidota; Bacteroidia; Marinilabiliales; Prolixibacteraceae. The record is from RNAcentral.